GUUAAAAAUAAAAGUGACAACCCUAGGCGUCAACGCAGGAGUAGGUAAUUAACUCGCCGAUCGGCCUUAGUUAGCCUACUAUUCUGUUUGUACUGUGUAACAGCUUAAAAUAAG
This is a long non-coding RNA of Maniola jurtina (meadow brown), 114 nucleotides long. RefSeq lists it as uncharacterized. The transcript is spliced from 3 exons. The record is from RefSeq and is a predicted model, not a curated record. Lineage: Eukaryota; Metazoa; Arthropoda; Insecta; Lepidoptera; Nymphalidae.